CACGUAGGUCCCGAGCGUUGUCCGGAUUUAUUGGGCGUAAAGCGAGCGCAGGUGGUUUAUUAAGUCUGGUGUAAAAGGCAGUGGCUCAACCAUUGUAUGCAUUGGAAACUGGUAGACUUGAGUGCAGGAGAGGAGAGUGGAAUUCCAUGUGUAGCGGUGAAAUGCGUAGAUAUAUGGAGGAACACCGGUGGCGAAAGCGGCUCUCUGGCCUGUAGCUGACACUGAGGCUCGAAAGCGUGGGGAGCAAACAGG
RNAcentral lists this ribosomal RNA (252 nucleotides) under uncultured bacterium. RNAcentral's name for it is "partial 16S ribosomal RNA". It matches the Rfam family "Bacterial small subunit ribosomal RNA", at positions 524 to 776 of the family's 1533-position model. The record is from RNAcentral.